GAGGAAGAUCCACCUCGAACCUCUCCUCCUUCACCAUUCUGCUUCUCCUUCACUUACCGCCUUCUUCUCUGCACCCCUCUUGCUCCGUUCCCCUCUCCAAAUUUCCUUCCUUUAUACCUUUUUCUGUUCCCUUUUCGUCUUCCUCACGAUACCAACAUACCUCAAAGCCCAUAUUGAUCGACUAGAGGGAGAAGCAAGAGCAGCAGGACGAGCAAAGGCAUAGAAGAAGAAACAGAAGACGAUGAGAGAAGAAGUAGAACCCAACUGGUUUCCCCGAUGGGAGGAGGAGCUACCAAGCCCCGAAGAGCUUAUGCCCCUCUCCCAGUCUCUCAUCACCCCCGACCUCGCCCUCGCCUUCGAUAUCUUAACGCCAAACCCUAGCUCCGCGCCACCGCCUCCUCCUCCGCCGGAUUUUGAUUCUCCGGACCUCUCCGCCCCUCCUGAAUCUGUCUCCACCGGCUACGCCGGCGAAGAAUCAGCUCGCACCUUGAAACGGCCGCGGCUGGUUUGGACGCCGCAGCUCCACAAACGAUUCGUCGACGCAGUCGCCCAUCUCGGAAUCAAGAACGCCGUCCCCAAGACCAUAAUGCAGCUCAUGAGUGUUGACGGUCUCACUCGCGAGAACGUCGCCAGCCAUCUCCAAAAAUAUCGUCUUUACCUCAAGCGCAUGCAGGGUCUAAGCUCCUCCGCCGCCGGCCCGCCGAUGUCGGCCGCCGACGCGGCCACGGAGCAUCUUUUUUCAAGUAAUCCCAUCCCUCACCCUUUCCUCUGCCGUGACGGAUCUGGACAGGAGACUUAUAUGCAGUUCUUAGCUCCGCCUCUCCUGCAUCAACAUCAACACAUGGCUGCCGCUGCCGCCUCAGUACAGAACCAGCAAUAUUAUCAUCAGAGACAAAUAAGGCAUUUGGGAUCAGCUAGUGAUUAUGGGCUGUUCGCAAGGGGAGCAGCACAGCCCCUUGGUUUGCACAGGAUAGGGGGUUCUUCUAUAGCCAUGAUGCAACCUCCUACUAUGGCUUCCUUGCCAACUUCUUAUGGAGAUGACAUGGAUUCUGGGUCUGGAAGAGGAGGUAGGAGGGUUUUGACUCUUUUUCCAACAGGAAGUGAAGAAUGAACCGAGCUUUCUUAUUCCAUUCUGUUUAAAGAUUACUUGAAGUUAGAAGGAUUUCUGAGAAUCAAGAUGAUGACAUCAAUGGGGGUAGAGAGGAGCACGCAGGCAUGCGGGGAAUGUGACCGGUGGGUGCGACGGAGCUCACAAGCAUGUGGCGGCGAGCUGGUAGGCAAGCAGCAGUGGUGAUCACAUGUGAGCAACAUGAAGCUCGCAAGUUAGGGCAUCAACAUCUAUGAUGGCACACGCUACGGGAAUGAUAGCUCUCGCUGAUGAGGUUAAUUUUUUUAAUGCGGGAGAUGUUAUUUUUGAGUUUAUUUUAAAUUUGGGUGCUAUAUUUUUAAAUAGUAAAACUUAGACGUGAAAUAUUUCAAUUUGAUAGUUUUGAGUGUUAUUUUUGUAAAUCUCCCUUAAAAAAUUGCAUGAAAUUGGCUAGUGGCUGGAGGAAUAAAAAUUUUGCUGGUACGUAUAUCAUGGUCCAAUAAUGCUCCAUAGAGACUGAAUAAGAUGAAGCUUAUUAAAUUUUGUAUGUGCUAAUUAAAGUUUAGUUUAGCUUAUCUGUAUACCCUUAUCAUGGUGAUGAAGAUUCUUCCCCCCUUUUGUCUCUCUACAAUU
Dendrobium catenatum is the source of this 1720-nucleotide RNA transcript. It is a transcript of the gene named transcription factor MYBC1, with no coding region annotated. The transcript has 2 exons. The record is from RefSeq and is a predicted model, not a curated record. NCBI's taxonomy places the organism in Eukaryota, Viridiplantae, Streptophyta, Magnoliopsida, Asparagales, Orchidaceae.